UGUGCACACUGUUAGAGCCUGGUGCUGCUGCUGCUGUCAGUUCUCAGGUGUCGGAGGUGUGCUAUAUUAAUCAGGCCGGGUUUUCGCUAACACCAUGAGGGCUCUGGCCCCAUGACUGGGGUUUGAUAGUGACCUGAGCCACACUG
This is a small nucleolar RNA of Colossoma macropomum (tambaqui), 146 nucleotides long. NCBI's taxonomy places the organism in Eukaryota, Metazoa, Chordata, Actinopteri, Characiformes, Serrasalmidae. The record is from RefSeq and is a predicted model, not a curated record.